Molecule: ribosomal RNA, 251 nt
Filed under: uncultured bacterium
Lineage: Bacteria
Description: partial 16S ribosomal RNA
Rfam family: Bacterial small subunit ribosomal RNA
Source: RNAcentral
ACGUAAGGGGCAAGCGUUAUCCGGAUUUACUGGGUGUAAAGGGAGCGUAGACGGCAGUGCAAGUCUGAUGUGAAAGCCCGGGGCUCAACCCCGGGACUGCAUUGGAAACUGUGCAGCUAGAGUGUCGGAGAGGUAAGUGGAAUUCCUAGUGUAGCGGUGAAAUGCGUAGAUAUUAGGAGGAACACCAGUGGCGAAGGCGGCUUACUGGACGAUAACUGACGUUGAGGCUCGAAAGCGUGGGGAGCAAACAG